RNAcentral lists this long non-coding RNA (457 nucleotides) under Dromaius novaehollandiae (emu). Its description in RNAcentral is "lncRNA (ENSDNVG00000017408.1)". The record is from RNAcentral. Lineage: Eukaryota; Metazoa; Chordata; Aves; Casuariiformes; Dromaiidae.
UAAGAUGGAAGAAGGAACCAGAUGAGGGAAGAUUAACCUUUCGCUGUCCACAAUUCUUUCCCUCUUAUCGUGGAGGAUUCGGUAACCCACCCCCCUCCAAUCCAGCCUAUCUGUCUGAAUUGCUGAAAGCAUAAUGCUCACAUAUGAGAGAUAAAAAGUGCCCACUGGUCCUGCUCUGUUUGCCAUCAAGAAUGAGCUGCCGGGACUAGGAAUGUUUCCCAGACGGGAGGUGAGGAGGUCAGUCUGGACCUCUGGACAUUCGCAGCGCUAACUCGCAGACGUGUCAUGUGAAAGCAGUCCAUCUGAAUGUAGCAGCAAAGCAUGAGCUCCUGAAGGAGAAAAAGAUAAAAGAAAAAAAGAAAGAAAGAAGCAGAGCAACACAGGUAUUACUCUCUCUGUUGACAAAGAGCAGUUUCUGUUCUGUGUGCAAAAUAUUUCCUUUUCUUCUACUAUGUCU